RNAcentral lists this ribosomal RNA (511 nucleotides) under uncultured bacterium. RNAcentral's name for it is "bacterial SSU rRNA". It matches the Rfam family "Bacterial small subunit ribosomal RNA", at positions 32 to 519 of the family's 1533-position model. The record is from RNAcentral.
AAUCAACGCUGGCGGCGUGCCUAACACAUGCAAGUCGAACGCGAAAGCCCCUUCGGGGGCAAGUAGAGUGGCGUCCGGGUGAGUAACACGUGGGUAAUCUACCUCCGGGUGGGGAAUAACUCGCCGAAAGGCGGGCUAAUACCGCAUAAUGCAGCGGCACCGAAUGGUGAUUAGUUGUUAAAGCGGGGGACCUUAGGGCCUCGCGCCUGGAGAGGAGCCUGCGGCAGAUUAGCUUGUUGGUAGGGAAUGGCCUACCAAGGCUGCGAUCUGUAGCUGGUCUGAGAGGACGGCCAGCCACACUGGCACUGACACACGGGCCAGACUCCUACGGGAGGCAGCAGUGGGGAAUUUUGGGCAAUGGGCGAAAGCCUGACCCAGCAACGCCGCGUGAAGGAGGAAAUCCUUCGGGAUGUAAACUUCACAAGCAAGGGAAGAGCGCGCAGGGUCGAAUAAACUCUGCGUCCGACGGUACCUUGCGUAAGCCACGGCUAACUACGUGCCAGCAGCCGCC